AAGGAUCAUUACCGAGAUUUCUUUUCUUUUUUUAAAUUAUAUUUUUCUUAAGAAAAAUCUCCCACCCUUUGUGUAUAUAUAAAAAAAUUUAUACUUUGGUGAAGCGUUUAUGAGAUAUUAGUUUGUAAUAUCAAGUAACCAGUGGCUUUUUUAAUUUUAAAAAGCGGCUGUGUCUUGGCCAAAGGAAAAAAACAUAACUCUUUUAUUUUACUUAUUGUCUGAGUUUAUAAAUUUUAAAUAAACAAAACUUUCAACAACGGAUCUCUUGGUUCUGGCAUCGAUGAAGAACGCAGCGAAAUGCGAUAAGUAAUGUGAAUUGCAGAAUUCAGCGAAUCAUCGAAUUUUUGAACGCACAUUGCGCCUCAGAGUAUUCUUUGAGGCAUACCUGUUCGAGCGUCGUUUAGACCAUAAAGCGAAAUACUAUUUAUAGUAGAAAUAUUAUAGAAAGUAAAGCUUUGCGUUGAUUUUUUUGGAUUUCCAUUUUGUGAAGUUCAAUAAUCUAAAGAUAUUGGCGUCGUAGUUUGACCAAGACACAGCAAAAUGUGAAACUGGAAAUUUGAACUAUUUGAUAUGCCUUGAACAAACAGUUUUUCGUAAGAGAAACGUAGGUUCGACCUCGGAUCAGGUAAGACUACCCGCUGAACUUAA
Molecule: ribosomal RNA, 648 nt
Filed under: Clavatospora longibrachiata
Lineage: Eukaryota; Fungi; Ascomycota; Sordariomycetes; Microascales; Halosphaeriaceae
Description: eukaryotic LSU rRNA
Rfam family: 5.8S ribosomal RNA (bases 246-399)
Source: RNAcentral